AAGAAGGAGAAAGGGUUAGGAGGAAGAAGAUGGGGAAGAAGGGAGAUCAUUCAUGGGUAGGCUUAAAGGAGGAGGAAGAUGAUGAGAAGAAGUGGGUAAAGAGAAAGGAGAGGAAGAAGAAAGAGGGGUUAAACGGAGAUAGAGGAGGAGGAGAUGGGUGGGCUUGGAGGAGGAGGAGGAGAAGUGGGAGAGAAGAAAGGGAAGGAGGGG
RNAcentral lists this long non-coding RNA (210 nucleotides) under Elaeis guineensis (African oil palm). Its description in RNAcentral is "long non-coding RNA (EGUI_LNC030668)". Lineage: Eukaryota; Viridiplantae; Streptophyta; Magnoliopsida; Arecales; Arecaceae. The record is from RNAcentral.